UACUUGUCAAAGUGGGGCAAGCACGGUGGCGAGGGCCGAGCGAGCGCGGCGGAGGAGGAGGGCGUGGGCGCGGAGCGGAGAGGGGGGAAGGGAGGUUUGGUAUCGGGGCGCGGCCGGCCGGCCGGCGGCGGCGGCAGCGGCGGGCGGGCCCGUGGAUAGGUGCUGGAGCGCGACGGGGAGAGGAGAAGGAGGACGGAGUGGAGAGAGAGGGGAGAGGUUUGGGAUUGGGAUCGGUGGUCGGAAGCGAGGUACGGCGCGGCAGCGUAUAAGAGGAGGAGGGGCGGGAGGGCCAGGAAUCGCCCUCCUCGCGCCGAACGGCGGCGUUGACGAGGCGCAGCGACGAGGGAGCAGCUCGACCGUGCAGGGGCAGUGGACCUCCUCGGCUGCGAGGGACGACGCGGCAGCGUACCGUCGACGAGGCGCAGCGACCAGGGGGUAGAUCGAGCAGACAGGGGCAGCGGACCUCCUCGCCUCCAACGGCGAGGUCGUAGAAGAGCCGGGAGGAAGGGAGCAGCCGCUCGCCGAGUACCGUUGAGGCUUAAGCCUCCGUCCAGACUUAGGUUUACACCUUGUCCCUUUCCAUUUUCGUCGAGUUAACCAACCAAGUUCGAUGUCCAACCGUGGAUGCGUCUUUCUCCACUACCUAACUUUCACGUCCUUGGUGAGUCUUAUUAGUAGCUAUGCCUGUUACUGCCACUUCCGGCAUGAAGGACCCGCUAAGAGUUGCAUCUUGGUCAACUGGACUGCCUUCUUCGGCUGUCGCUCAGCCCGGACGCCGAAAACACCACCCCACUCCUUCUCCUCCUGCUCCUCACUUUGCGACAGGUAACUACUACAGCGGAACGACGAUCCUCUUCCGCUCUCCUCCUCCGUCCUCGGACCUGGUCUUCGUGUCUUCCUACUCCGAUAAGUGCGCCAUUAACGUCCUCAACUACUAUACAUAGCAGGUCGUGGCAAUGAACUCCAGCGGCGACCUCGGCCUGUUCCAUUACCGAAUGGAAUGGGCCACUCCACGACUCAUCCUUCUCGCGUUCUGUGGUGGUGGUGGUGGUCCAUGAUCUCCCGCGGUAGCUCCUACAGCGGCAUGACUAACGGCUAUUGGAUA
This 1105-nucleotide ribosomal RNA is filed under the name Triticum aestivum (bread wheat). Its description in RNAcentral is "partial small subunit ribosomal RNA". Lineage: Eukaryota; Viridiplantae; Streptophyta; Magnoliopsida; Poales; Poaceae. The record is from RNAcentral.